CAUAGGCAAGCGCGGCCACAUAGGCUAGACGCACUAUCUUCUCCUCUACCCCGCGCCGCCCUCCACCUCGGAGCGGGGACGUACGGUGGUGGCGGUGACACAAUGCGAGUGAGUGGAGCCUUUGGAAGGAAUUGGGCCAUGAGAAGAGCCCUCAUGAAUGGGAUUAGUUCCCUUAUAAGAAGAGACACCAAGGAAGUGAUCUUUCUCUGCCCUCUGCUAUGUGAAGACAAGGUCAUCUGCAGUUUUUUGUUGUUGUUGAUGAUCUUCCUGUCAUAGACAAUGCUGUAACAAACAGACUAAUUGUUCACUGUUGACAUAUAGAAGUACUACUGAUUGGCCAGACAUAGUGGCUCAUGCCUGGAAUCCCAGCACUUUGGGAGGCCAAGGCAGGUGGAUCACUUGAGCCCAGAAGUUUGAGACCAGCCUGGGCAACAUGAUGAAACCCCAUCUCUACAAAAUAAAUAGAAAAAUUAGCUGGGUAUGGUGGCAUGUGCCAGUAGUCCCAGCUACAUGGGAGCCUGAGGUGGGAGGACGACUUGAGCCCAGGAGGUGGAGGUUACAGUGAGCUGAGAUCAUGCCACUGCACUCCAGCCUGGGUGACAGAGUGGGACUCUGUCUAAAAAAAAAAUUGUAUUAUCUGUAAACGGAAAUAUAAAUAAUUUAACUUCUUCUUUUCCAAUUUGGAUUCCCUUUAUUUCUUUCACCUGUAUGAUUGCUUUAGCUAGAGCUUCCGGUAAUAUGUUGAAUAACAGUGAUGACCAGUGGGCAUCCUUGCUGUGUUCCAGAUCUUAGAGAAAAGACUUUCAGUUUUUUUCCCCAUUUAGUAUAUGAGCUGUGGACCUGUAAUAUAUGGCUUUUAUUAUGUUGAGGUAUGUUACUUCUAUACCUAGUUUUCUUAGGUUUUGUUUUUUUUUA
Molecule: long non-coding RNA, 915 nt
Filed under: Homo sapiens (human)
Lineage: Eukaryota; Metazoa; Chordata; Mammalia; Primates; Hominidae
Description: non-protein coding lnc-VCAN-1:9
Source: RNAcentral